Non-coding RNA from Prunus avium (sweet cherry), 1144 nucleotides. The record is from RefSeq and is a predicted model, not a curated record. NCBI's taxonomy places the organism in Eukaryota, Viridiplantae, Streptophyta, Magnoliopsida, Rosales, Rosaceae.
GAUUGAAGGUUGAAGGAUCCAUAGGAGAAUAUUCUCCCGCGAGAUUAUUUGCACAAACAAGUUAUACAAUACAUUUUCUCAGCUGCCAAACAGAAACAGACCAAUUGUUCGUUUAUCUCUCCACAGUCCACUCCACUCCACAUUUUAUUGAAACUGCUUGCAGGAAUCGCACUCUGAGUUCCUUCCCUUUGUAAUUGAGGACCGUUCACAAAGGGCUUAUGGAGUGCACAUAAAUGGCUAUGUUGAGAAGGAUGGGAAGAAGUUUCUAUGGACAGCGAAGAGAAGUCAACAGAAACCCACUUAUAUUUAUACAUCCAGGGAUGCUUGAUCAUCUAGUUGCUGGUGGACUGGUUUGUAACGAGCUUUCAUCUUGCUUUAAGGCAUUUUAGUUUCUAUUCUAUCAGUAUUUAGGUUGUCAGUGCUCAGUGGGAGCUUGCUUGAAUAGUUUGCUUUUGGUAUCUAGAGCCUCCAGACCUUGAUGAAAUAACAUGGGCAUUCCUCGACCCCGAAAGAGAUGGAUUUACAUGACAUGUUCCUAAAUUAGACGGCUCUGGUGCACUUUAAUGUCAAUGUAAUUGGUGAAACUACUUGACCCAAGAACUGGCGGGAUUUUAGGAUGUAAUCUGAGGCAACUGGAAGAGCAAGGGGUCCUUCCUGGCCUGAUAUUUAGUGGUCUACUUUAAGCAUAACAAAUGAAAUUAGCAGGGAUGUUCUGUGCACCUCACAUGGAGGGUCAAUUUGGUCCAAUCUUGCCAUCUAUAGGGGUCUGCCAAGAAUUCUUUUGGGGUUUGUUUUGGGCUUAGCGUUCUUCAAAAAUUAUGAUAUAUGGGUUUGGAUUUUGUUCAAUUGUUCAUAGAGGGUUCAAAUUGAGGGCAAGCAGAUAGUUCAUAUCACGUUCAGAUGAUGAAGGUAAGAAAUUUAUGACACGAAAAUGAUAGAUUUCUUACCUCAAUGACAGGCCCGACAACCACCUCAAUCAUAGAUUUAUUUAAAUUAGAAGCCUCUCAAUAUUUUCUUAUUCAACAAUAUAUUGUCUGCUAUUACAAAUACCAGUUGAGAGUCUUUUAUUCAUUAUGCUUAUACAAAUACUAGUUGGCAGCAUAAACUUCUCUGCAGUUUUCUGAGCCUGAAUCCGCACAACCAU